Molecule: long non-coding RNA, 3026 nt
Organism: Gambusia affinis (western mosquitofish)
Lineage: Eukaryota; Metazoa; Chordata; Actinopteri; Cyprinodontiformes; Poeciliidae
Exons: 4
Source: RefSeq, a predicted model, not a curated record
GGGGGAUUAAACCAACGCAGAGUUUGAUUCCAGAGUGAUUCCUUGAUUCCUUUCCACAACCGUUACAGCAGGGACAAGGGAUUCCACAUUCAUUGUGCACAGUAAUGGCCAGUGAACCACAGGGGUGUGAGAGCUGUUUGUAUGUGUUUGUGUUUUAGUUCUGUUCCCCAGGGUCAGUGUGAAGGCUUUAGCGCUCCGAAGACACAGUGUGGCAGGGCCAUUAACUCAUAAAUCCAAUACAGGCCACCUCAACACUAUUUGUCUUCUGCCAAUAGACAACAAGAUGGGAUGACGGAGCAGAGAGGAGGAUCAAUGGCUCCCCUGACUGUCAGUCCGCUCACUUGUUUUCACAUCUAUUUACCAGCUGCCUCUCCCACCUUAUCUCCAUUCCCUUCCCUUGCUCUCUUUUUUUGUCUGUUCAAAACCCAGGAAACUGUUGUGUUUGAAAGAAAAUGUGUUAAUACGUUAGGCCCUUGCGUUCCUGGGUAUAAACCGAAAAAGUUAAAAUAUAUUUUCUACUUACUAUUACUUACUUAGAACCAUUUCUGCAUUUAAAGUGCUGCAGAAUCUGUUACCAAAGGCUUGCAGAGAAGCUAUAAUUGAUAAUCAUGAAUCAACUGACCAAGUACUCAAGGAGUCAUUUGAUUCUCUAUGGAUGAAAAGAUGCAUGGACACUAGGUAUAUUAAUAUUCUAAAGCAGCAUUAAUACUGAUCUUUUUUUAUCUUUACAUCAGGUUAUAAUGAUGUAUUAUGAUGUUAUAUCAUAACAUGUAACAUGUUAUAAUAUUACAUUACAUGUAAUGUUAUAUGUGCAACUUCUUGAUCUUUACAUCAUGUUAUAACGUUAAAUAACAUUAUAUAUUACAUAACAUUAUAACUAUAUAUAUUUAUAUUUAUGUGUGUGUGUGUGUUUAUGAGGCAAUAUUGCCUCAUCAAUAACAUUCCGGAAGUAUUUUUUUGAUUCUUUCAUGCAUGUUUGAGAAAUCCUUUCAUCUCCCUUGGCAACCAUUCAGCUGUGAAAAAUGCCUGGGUGGACUGAACGCUAACUUCGAGCACACUGAGAAGCGCAUACACAAGCUUGAUUGACAAAGCUUUAAUCCUGGCUGUGGUAUUUUGUUUCUGACCAGGAAUGAUGCAUUUCUACAGACAGACAUUUUCAGAAAUGCAUCACUCCUGGUCAGAAACAAAACCACAGGAAGAAGGCAGAGAAGCUCCGUUUCAUCACAAAUGCUCUGUCUCAUUAACAUACUGUCAUGACAAUCAAAUUGUUAAUAGAAGUUACAUACUGUGGCUUGAAAUGUGCAAACUUGGAUCUUAAUUUUCUCUCUCCCUGACUCUGUGCUUAUCACACACACACACACACACACGCACACACACUCAGGUCAUGCCCUUCUCAUGUUUCCUCUGACACAUUGUAAUAGAUUUCGCUGUUCUUCCACACCACAUCUAAGUGGCCUCACCUUUCACUGAAAACAAAUCAGUCCUUCCCUAAGUCUGACACACACACACACACACGCAUGCACACACACUUUUUGACCACCACCUCCUUUUCUUCACACAUUUCACAUCUUUCUCUCCGUUUUCCAAUGUAUUCCCAUCUCUGACCUUCCACGUCUUUUUUCUCUCAUCUGUCUCCCAUGGGUGUUCUCCUCUUCCUGUUCGUCAAGCCCACCAUCCUUUUCUCUCUGGUCUAUCUCUCCUCACUCUAUGCCCUUCUGUAAACUCACUCUCUGCUGGAUAAUGUUUUGAAACAAACAGCUUUCGACAAACACUGAAAUGGGCUGGUUGUGAUUUUAUUCUUAAUUGAAAUCAAUAUCAUUACAGCAGAUAGCAUAUUCAGUUGCUCUGUUUUAGUUUGGUAUGAAAGUAUUUCAUGACUAUUUAGAAGUAGACUACUUUAGAAAAAUGAUUUUAAUUGGUAUCAAUUAAAAAUGUAUUCCUCCUACUUUCAGUUUCAAAGGUAUUUUUAAAUAUUUGACCUUCAUCUUUAUGGUGCCAAACAUGUUCCAACUAAUAUAGACUGGAUAUUACAAAAUAAAAUAAUACACUUUUGCUGCAGCAGAGGUAUCUUAAAUAGCCACAAAAUCGCUAAAGAGAUUUUCAUCAGUUUGUAAUUAUAAUGUUAUAAUACAAAUAAUCCAUGCAAAAUAUCUUUCAUUGAUAUUUUGUGUAUUGGAAAUGGACAACAUUUAGAAAUAUUACAUGUUAAUGUUUAAGAAUUGAUAGUAUAAUAAAAUGCAAAAAAUAUAGUAGCUAUAUAAUAAUUACAAAAUAUAUAUGAAGUAUCCCCUUUAGUGUCCAAUUAACAAGAUGCAGGAGAUAAAUAAAAAUGCUGAACAAUUAAGAUUGUAAAAACUCAAGAACAAUUCACUCAUAAAAUGCAGAAAAUAUUAUAUUAUUAGUAAUAUUAUUUCCCUCAAUUAGCCCUUGUGAACCCUCCAGGUGAAUAUGGACUCUUUGUCUCCAAGUCUGAAAUCCACCGGCGCCAUUCUGCAGGUGAAAUUAAAUGGUGACAUUAGAUUGUAAAUCCAAGUCUGGCCUUUUUGUUGCAGCUUUUUCCUGCUGUAACAAAAAGGCCGUUUUGUCCAAGUUAGAUUUUUUAAAAGAUCAUCCAAGCCCACCCCUUAAUCAUGGUAACAUGAUUUAUUUUCGGGUCACACAAGCUGCCCUCCCUCACCUUCAUUUUGUCCAAAAUGGAGCGAUUUGUCUUUUCACUCUUUGUCUCGAUCCCACAGGCAUAUCACUUCUGUGCUGAGUGCUCUUCACUGGCUCCCUGUGUGCCACAGAAUUGAUUUCUAUAUUCUUACAUGAAGAAUAUAAAAAUUUGUGAAUGUUUUAAUGGACUCGCUCAACUCUGUCUCAGACUUGCUUUACUCGUGCUCGUCUUCAAGUCCUCUGAGGUCAGCUGACCAGUUGCUCUCCAGAGAUGAGGCCGAAGUUCAAAGAUGACUGGACUUUUGCAGUAUCAGGACCUAAGUUAUAGAACUGGGAUUCAUUUUAGACCAGCUCCUUCACUGGCCUCUUGA